ACGCUCGACACCUACGGAGGCAGCAGUCGGGAAUAUUGCGCAAUGGAGGAAACUCUGACGCAGUGACGCCGCGUAUAGGAAGAAGGUUUUCGGAUUGUAAACUAUUGUCGUUAGGGAAGAGAAAGGACAGUACCUAAGGAGGAAGCUCCGGCUAACUACGUGCCAGCAGCCGACGGUAAUCUGAGCGGGCUGGCAAGGC
Molecule: ribosomal RNA, 199 nt
Filed under: uncultured bacterium
Lineage: Bacteria
Description: partial 16S ribosomal RNA
Rfam family: Bacterial small subunit ribosomal RNA
Source: RNAcentral